AAUUAUUUUUUGCGUUCAUAGACCAUAUGAUAAGGGAACUGGAGAGUGGAGUCGCGUCAAGUUAUCAGAAAAUCGCUUCUUUGCGCUGUAUCUGCUUCAUCGUGUUGUAGGAAAUAUCACAAACGAACAAAUCUCAAUAUUGUCUGAGACAUACGAAACUGACCUCUGGCAUGUAAUUUUGACGAAUUCAAUUUGGAGUUCGCUCGAUGCCGAACAAGUACGCUGGUUUAUAACAUCUCGCGAGUGCUACCAUGCCAUGAUGGCCCUGAGAUCUAUCAGUCACGGUACUUUAUAUGUAAUUGAAAACAAAUGUACGAUCAACAAUGAACAACGACAUUUACAUAGCAUUACUGCAUAUUCAUCGGGAUUUCAGUGUGAAUGUUAAAAAUAGAGAAGUUUGUUUCUGCCCAGACCCGAGGAGCAGAUUUUGGACAAUUUUGAGUAAAUUCUGUAUCACAAAUAUGUGUUGUUUAUGUAUUACUAUAUUCAGAAGAUUUAUUAAUAGUUUUACAUUCAUAAAUUUUUAUCUACAUAUAGCUCCUCUUUUGACCGUCCUAUGACCGAAAACAGAAAAAAAAAAUCUGCAUAAUAGGGUCCC
RNAcentral lists this long non-coding RNA (598 nucleotides) under Mytilus galloprovincialis (Mediterranean mussel). Lineage: Eukaryota; Metazoa; Mollusca; Bivalvia; Mytilida; Mytilidae. The record is from RNAcentral.